AUGCCUUCAUAAGUGCAGUGCUACUGGGGACGCGCAGUCCUGUUUUUUCGCGAUAAUUUUCGUCUCUUUUGUGUCGUUAUUUGUGUGCAUGGGGUGAUUGGUCAUAAUAAUUGAAUAAUGCCUUCAUAAUUGCAGUGCUUCUGGGGACGCGCAGUCCGGUUUUUUCGCGAUAAUUUUCGUCGUAAAUGAUCGUGAAAAUUUAUUCCAACUUUCAGUUUUAGUAUUAACUCAUCAAACUAUCGAUUUUAUGAAAAGUAAAGCGUCAUUUAUUUACUAUUUUUGAAAUUUGCUCGCGUUAUCUAAAUUGUAAAAACAGUAAAAUCAUACUGAUAAGUCCAGCCCAUAGCACUAAUGCUCGGCUGGCACGCGUUCGAUAAAAAUAAACCAUUUUAAAUAAUCAAUUAUCUAUCUUUCCGCAGCCGGCUGCCUAAGAUUUAAAAAUUUCAACCGAUAAACAAAAUGCUCAUGGUCACAUCACUGCCACUCGUGAAUCCUGACCUCAUACCCAUCUACUAACCCCCUCAAAACUCAUGUGAUACUUUGUCGGAGAAGCAGUCGAUUGGGCGGUCUCUAUCACUCAAGUAUCGGACUAACAUUCCCAUCCACUUCCCCGUGACCCUACCACUGGUCGUGGCCGGCGUCGGUAUUGAUCAGCAUGAUAGGGGCCUUUGAGAAGUUGCGAAGCGAGGAAAGAUAGCACCCACUCAUCUUCCACGGCUCGUGGAUGUAACUUCUGGAGGUCCUGGUCAAUAACGGAGUAGCAACUGCGGGUGGGCACCUAUGCUUAGAGCAACCUUACCAGCGUGAGUAUUAGGCCGGUUUUAGGGUUUUGUAACGCGUGUUAGUAACUUUGCUCCCACACCGGUCGUUGCCAAAUGCGUUGCUAAACUAAAACGUAACGCCCCGGUUGGGAGCGAGUUACCAAAUUUGGCAACGCGCUAGCAACGCAACUAAAACUUUGAACUGUCAAACUUCAAAACAAGACAUCAGUAGAUUUGCGUUCGAAUGUUGGUUUUUUAUGUUUUUUUUUUUAAUUUACGUUGAUCGUUCCGGGUUGAAGUGUCCUCGCCGCGAAAAGUAAUUGAUUUGCCAAAAGAGUACAGUGAAAAUAGCUCGUCUGCGAUGUCGGUGGUCCCGGUGUCUGGAUUGGGAACCUGCAAAAGGAGUGUCCUUCGGCGAUGUAAAACGGGUAUGGGGGCCCUUCCGGAAGAGGAACCGAUACUAUUUGCACCAACAAACAAGCUUCAGUACCAAGUCUAUCAUCAACCCGCAACCCUGCUCGGUCAACUUCUCGGCAUGCCUCCAUCAAGGAAGUCUACCCUGUGACACAGGUGACGGUUUCGGCGUAACAAAAUAGUGGCGUACCCCAAUAUGUAGCUGGCCGGAGCCGGAGCGGUCCGAAAAACGGCCUAAAAGACAAUCUGCGUGCCAUCACUUGUGGAACUCCUCCUGCUGGGUAGACGGAAACUGAUCGGUAUCACAUGUCGCUGCGACCUCAUACCGGACGUGGACGCCACUUCUAUCAAAAGCAUCAUCUUGAUCCGGAACGACGGAAUAAGCUUCUUUUUGCAGAAAUAUGGAACGUUAUUAUCUUAUUUUCGCGGACAUCCUGCUCAUCCUAGUUGGGCCUUGCCCAAGGACUAUAGCGAGCAAGCCGUUUGUAAAAAAAAAUCACAAAUUUUGCACUUCAACAUCAUGGAACUUGAAAAUCAUAUGAUAUUAAAAAUAAAUAAUCGUAAAAUUGACGAAAAACUGAAAAGUUUACACAUCUUAAAGUCACAAU
Molecule: long non-coding RNA, 1783 nt
Organism: Culex pipiens pallens (northern house mosquito)
Lineage: Eukaryota; Metazoa; Arthropoda; Insecta; Diptera; Culicidae
Exons: 3
Source: RefSeq, a predicted model, not a curated record